GGAGCGGUAUCGAAGUGGUCAUAACGGGCCUGACUCGAAAUCAGGUAGCCGGCAACGGCUCGUGGGUUCGAAUCCCACCCGCUCCGCCA
RNAcentral lists this transfer RNA (89 nucleotides) under Clostridiales bacterium. RNAcentral describes it as "tRNA-Ser". It matches the Rfam family "tRNA". Rfam says of the family: Transfer RNA (tRNA) molecules are approximately 80 nucleotides in length. Lineage: Bacteria; Bacillati; Bacillota; Clostridia; Eubacteriales. RNAcentral also lists the same sequence under 1 other name. The record is from RNAcentral.